Molecule: ribosomal RNA, 581 nt
Filed under: Ruegeria sp. AU449_Ted1_MB20SE
Lineage: Bacteria; Pseudomonadati; Pseudomonadota; Alphaproteobacteria; Rhodobacterales; Roseobacteraceae
Description: bacterial SSU rRNA
Rfam family: Bacterial small subunit ribosomal RNA
Source: RNAcentral
GUCGAGCGCACCUUCGGGUGAGCGGCGGACGGGUUAGUAACGCGUGGGAAUAUACCCUUUGGUACGGAAUAGCCUCUGGAAACGGAGAGUAAUACCGUAUGAGCCCUUCGGGGGAAAGAUUUAUCGCCAAAGGAUUAGCCCGCGUUAGAUUAGGUAGUUGGUGGGGUAAUGGCCUACCAAGCCUACGAUCUAUAGCUGGUUUUAGAGGAUGAUCAGCAACACUGGGACUGAGACACGGCCCAGACUCCUACGGGAGGCAGCAGUGGGGAAUCUUGGACAAUGGGCGCAAGCCUGAUCCAGCCAUGCCGCGUGAGUGAUGAAGGCCUUAGGGUCGUAAAGCUCUUUCGCCUGUGAAGAUAAUGACGGUAGCAGGUAAAGAAACCCCGGCUAACUCCGUGCCAGCAGCCGCGGUAAUACGGAGGGGGUUAGCGUUGUUCGGAAUUACUGGGCGUAAAGCGCACGUAGGCGGACUGGAAAGUUGGGGGUGAAAUCCCAGGGCUCAACCCUGGAACUGCCUCCAAAACUAUCAGUCUAGAGUUCGAGAGAGGUGAGUGGAAAUUCCGAGUGUAGAGGUGAAAUUC